UCUGGCGGUAAUGGCGGAGGGGUCCCACGCGUACCCAUCUCGAACACGACCGUUAAGCCCUCCAGCGCCAAUGGUACUUGGACCGCAGGGUCCUGGGAGAGUAGGACGUCGCCAGGC
Molecule: ribosomal RNA, 117 nt
Filed under: Cohnella sp. OV330
Lineage: Bacteria; Bacillati; Bacillota; Bacilli; Caryophanales; Paenibacillaceae
Source: RNAcentral